This 1343-nucleotide ribosomal RNA is filed under the name uncultured bacterium. Its description in RNAcentral is "16S ribosomal RNA". It matches the Rfam family "Bacterial small subunit ribosomal RNA", at positions 28 to 1378 of the family's 1533-position model. The record is from RNAcentral.
GACGAACGCUGGCGGCGUGCUUAACACAUGCAAGUCGAACGGAAAGGCCCUGCUUUUGUGGGGUGCUCGAGUGGCGAACGGGUGAGUAACACGUGAGUAACCUGCCCUUGACUUUGGGAUAACUUCAGGAAACUGGGGCUAAUACCGGAUAGGAGCUCCUGCUGCAUGGUGGGGGUUGGAAAGUUUCGGCGGUUGGGGAUGGACUCGCGGCUUAUCAGCUUGUUGGUGGGGUAGUGGCUUACCAAGGCUUUGACGGGUAGCCGGCCUGAGAGGGUGACCGGCCACAUUGGGACUGAGAUACGGCCCAGACUCCUACGGGAGGCAGCAGUGGGGAAUAUUGCACAAUGGGCGGAAGCCUGAUGCAGCAACGCCGCGUGCGGGAUGACGGCCUUCGGGUUGUAAACCGCUUUCGCCUGUGACGAAGCGUGAGUGACGGUAAUGGGUAAAGAAGCACCGGCUAACUACGUGCCAGCAGCCGCGGUGAUACGUAGGGUGCGAGCGUUGUCCGGAUUUAUUGGGCGUAAAGGGCUCGUAGGUGGUUGAUCGCGUCGGAAGUGUAAUCUUGGGGCUUAACCCUGAGCGUGCUUUCGAUACGGGUUGACUUGAGGAAGGUAGGGGAGAAUGGAAUUCCUGGUGGAGCGGUGGAAUGCGCAGAUAUCAGGAGGAACACCAGUGGCGAAGGCGGUUCUCUGGGCCUUUCCUGACGCUGAGGAGCGAAAGCGUGGGGAGCGAACAGGCUUAGAUACCCUGGUAGUCCACGCUGUAAACGGUGGGUACUAGGUGUGGGGUCCAUUCCACGGGUUCCGUGCCGUAGCUAACGCUUUAAGUACCCCGCCUGGGGAGUACGGCCGCAAGGCUAAAACUCAAAGGAAUUGACGGGGCCCCGCACAAGCGGCGGAGCAUGCGGAUUAAUUCGAUGCAACGCGUAGAACCUUACCUGGGUUUGACAUGGAUCGGGAGUGCUCAGAGAUGGGUGUGCCUCUUUUGGGGUCGGUUCACAGGUGGUGCAUGCCUGUCGUCAGCUCGUGUCGUGAGAUGUUGGGUUAAGUCCCGCAACGAGCGCAACCCUUGUUCACUGUUGCCAGCACGUUAUGGUGGGGACUCAGUGGAGACCGCCGGGGUCAACUCGGAGGAAGGUGGGGAUGACGUCAAGUCAUCAUGCCCCUUAUGUCCAGGGCUUCACGCAUGCUACAAUGGCUGGUACAGAGAGUGGCGAGCCUGUGAGGGUGAGCGGAUCUCGGAAAGCCGGUCUCAGUUCGGAUUGGGGUCUGCAACUCGACCUCAUGAAGUCGGAGUCGCUAGUAAUCGCAGAUCAGCAACGCUGCGGUGAAAACGUUCCCGGG